RNAcentral lists this long non-coding RNA (523 nucleotides) under Homo sapiens (human). RNAcentral's name for it is "HSALNT0296922". The record is from RNAcentral. Lineage: Eukaryota; Metazoa; Chordata; Mammalia; Primates; Hominidae.
AGAGAUGACAAUCAGAUGGACAUCCACACCCAAAGCAAGUCAGGAGGACUGGCAUGCCCCUGUCUCCCCAGCACCCCAUUUGUAGCCUUUUCUCAGGUUGAGUAAAUAGUUCUGUAUUAGGAAAGGCCCUCUUGCCUCCACAACUCCUUCCCCACCUUGGUGACAUCAUUCAUCGUGGUUCUGCCACUUCCUAGACCCUGCACUUGAUGGACCAGCUGGCACCACCCAGAUCAAUAAACUGGCUUAUUUGAAUUUGCGGCCCCCCACCCAGGAACUGACUCAGUGCAAGAAGACAGCUUCGACUCCCUGUGAUUUCAUCUCUGACCAAUCCGCACUCCUGGCUCACUGGCUUCCCCAACCCAUGAAGUUUUCCUUAAAAACUCUGCUCCCGAAAUGCUCAGGGAGACUGAUUUGAUAACAAUAAAACUCUGGUCUCCCGCACAGCCGGCUCUGCGUGAAUUACUCUUUCUCUAUUGCAAUUCCCCUGUCUUGAUGAAUCUGCUCUGUCUAGGCAGCGAGCAAG